CCUACGGGCGGCAGCAGUGGGGAAUAUUGGACAAUGGGGGCAACCCUGAUCCAGCCAUGCCGCGUGUGUGAAGAAGGCCCACGGGUUGUAAAGCACUUUCAGUGAGGAAGAACGCCUGGUGGUUAAUACCCAUCAGGAAAGACAUCACUCACAGAAGAAGCACCGGCUAACUCCGUGCCAGCAGCCGCGGUAAUACGGAGGGUGCGAGCGUUAAUCGGAAUUACUGGGCGUAAAGCGCGCGUAGGUGGCUUGAUAAGCCGGUUGUGAAAGCCCCGGGCUCAACCUGGGAACGGCAUCCGGAACUGUCAAGCUAGAGUGCAGGAGAGGAAGGUAGAAUUCCCGGUGUAGCGGUGAAAUGCGUAGAGAUCGGGAGGAAUACCAGUGGCGAAGGCGGCCUUCUGGACUGACACUGACACUGAGGUGCGAAAGCGUGGGUAGCAAACAGGAUUAGAUACCCUAGUAGUC
Molecule: ribosomal RNA, 465 nt
Filed under: Vreelandella stevensii
Lineage: Bacteria; Pseudomonadati; Pseudomonadota; Gammaproteobacteria; Oceanospirillales; Halomonadaceae
Description: partial 16S ribosomal RNA
Rfam family: Bacterial small subunit ribosomal RNA
Source: RNAcentral